AUACCCCUCAGGGGUAGCCAAGUUAAAAAAAAAAAAAAUCUGUUCUUAUCAGUUUAAUAUCUGAUACGUCCCCUAUCUGGGGACCAUAUAUUAAAUGGAUUUUUGAGAACGGGGGCCGAUUUCGAAGCUUGCUUCCGUCGCCCUAUGCAUUGACCCGAUAUGGCAGUAUCUUCGGGUACAGGGUUAAAAAG
This is a small nuclear RNA of Hyla sarda, 191 nucleotides long. RefSeq annotates it as U2 spliceosomal RNA. The record is from RefSeq and is a predicted model, not a curated record. Lineage: Eukaryota; Metazoa; Chordata; Amphibia; Anura; Hylidae. The transcript has a single exon.